GAAAACCCACAACAGCGGGCCGUAUUUGUUGAAGAAAGAGCCGGGGAAAGAUACGGCUGCCAACGUGGAGGGGGAAAGUGCAAGGAGAAGGAUAAAGGAUGCGGUGAAAGGGAUCCUUUACCGGACACGUGCCCUGAGAACAGAGUUUGCUGCAAGUUUUAAUAAAGCACUAACCACCCCACAAUGCCCAGAGCACUCUGAAGUGAAUGAUCUAUUUUCGUUUGGAAUAAACUUAUUUCGGAUUGUCA
Long non-coding RNA from Rhipicephalus microplus (southern cattle tick), 248 nucleotides. NCBI's taxonomy places the organism in Eukaryota, Metazoa, Arthropoda, Arachnida, Ixodida, Ixodidae. The record is from RefSeq and is a predicted model, not a curated record.